This 883-nucleotide long non-coding RNA is filed under the name Cyanistes caeruleus (blue tit). Its description in RNAcentral is "lncRNA (ENSCCEG00000009897.1)". The record is from RNAcentral. Lineage: Eukaryota; Metazoa; Chordata; Aves; Passeriformes; Paridae.
AUGGUGGAAGUUGAGAUACUGAAGGUUCAUAUCUUGAGAAAACUCCUGUGGGCAAGGAAGCUCACAAAGAGGCCUGCCCAGGAUGGAGCUUUCCUGGUUGGGUGCAGUGUCCUUGUUCUGCACAGGGUGCUCAGACACCUCUUUUCCUGCACCGGUGACCUGCGCACAGGACAGGCACACAGGAGCCCUCACCUCUGUCCUGCCCAUAAACAACAGGAGAAAUGAGAUAAAUGCUCCUGUCACAGACUUAUUAUCUAUGUAAUGGAAAUGCAAGGAGAUGUAUUGGAUUUGUAAACCCAUUUUGCUAAGGCCACUACUGAACAUGAGAAUCAUUUCACCUCUUUGAGCCAGCACUAACACUCUGCAGUCUUACCAAAAGAAUUCACUAAAUGUUUAUCUGGUCACUUACACAUAGAAAUGUUGUUACAAAAACAUUCAUUUUUGCAUUUGUUCAUAACAAAAAAUACAUAUUUCUGGGCAAUGAAUGAAUGAAUGAAGAAUUUUAAUGUCUAAGUUUAAAAAUUCACAUUAAAAUAUCAUUUUAAGAGUGUGUGUGUGUAAGUCUAAGUACAAUCAAACUGUAUGUUAAAAGUAUUUGUGCAGUGAAAAUGAACACUUCUUUAUUCUGACUAUUGAAGUAGCAGCAAAAUCCUCGCAAUCUCCAGUAUCUGCUGAAUGAAUUCUGGAAAAUCAAAAAAAUUGUGUGCUUCAACAAAAUGUCAGCAAAUUCGGUAUACAUGUUAAAUUACUCACAACUCCAUACACAUUUUCUAAAUGGUAUUUCAUAAGCAGGAGAGAGAACUGCUGAAGGUGUUGAGGUUACUGAACAAACUGAACUGAACUCUGUAAUAAAAGUGCUCAGUCUGAAAAUAAAUAUUUGACU